CUACGGGAGGCUCCAGUGAGGAAUAUUACACAAUGGGGGGAACCCUGAUGCAGCAACGCCGCGUGGAGGAUGACGCAUUUCGGUGUGUAAACUCCUUUUAUAUGUCAAGAAAAUGACGGUAGCAUAUGAAUAAGCACCGGCUAACUCCGUGCCAGCAGCCGCGGUAAUACGGAGGGUGCAAGCGUUACUCGGAAUCACUGGGCGUAAAGGACGCGUAGGCGGGUUGGAAAGUCAGGUGUGAAAUCCUACAGCUUAACUGUAGAACUGCACUUGAAACUUCUAAUCUAGAGUAUGGGAGGGGGAGAUGGAAUUAGUGGUGUAGGGGUGAAAUCCGUAGAUAUCACUAGGAAUACCUAAAGCGAAGGCGAUCUCCUGGAACAUUACUGACGCUAAGGCGUGAAAGCGUGGGGAGCAAACAGGAUUAGAUACCCUAGUAGUC
This 439-nucleotide ribosomal RNA is filed under the name uncultured bacterium. RNAcentral describes it as "partial 16S ribosomal RNA". It matches the Rfam family "Bacterial small subunit ribosomal RNA", at positions 339 to 795 of the family's 1533-position model. The record is from RNAcentral.